AGAGUAGCUCAGUGGUAGAGCCGCGGACUCAUAAGCCGUUGGUCGGCGGUUCAAAUCCGCCCUCUG
RNAcentral lists this transfer RNA (66 nucleotides) under marine eukaryotic metagenome. It matches the Rfam family "tRNA". From Rfam's summary of the family: Transfer RNA (tRNA) molecules are approximately 80 nucleotides in length. Their secondary structure includes four short double-helical elements and three loops (D, anti-codon, and T loops). Further hydrogen bonds mediate the characteristic L-shaped molecular structure. tRNAs have two regions of fundamental functional importance: the anti-codon, which is responsible for specific mRNA codon recognition, and the 3' end, to which the tRNAs corresponding amino acid is attached (by aminoacyl-tRNA synthetases). tRNAs cope with the degeneracy of the genetic code in two manners: having more than one tRNA (with a specific anti-codon) for a particular amino acid; and 'wobble' base-pairing, i.e. permitting non-standard base-pairing at the 3rd anti-codon position. The record is from RNAcentral.